Molecule: ribosomal RNA, 440 nt
Filed under: uncultured bacterium
Lineage: Bacteria
Description: bacterial SSU rRNA
Rfam family: Bacterial small subunit ribosomal RNA
Source: RNAcentral
CCUACGGGAGGCAGCAGCAAGGAAUUUUCCGCAAUGGGCGCAAGCCUGACGGAGCAACGCCGCGUGCGGGAUGACGCGCUUCGGCGUGUAAACCGCUGUUCGGGGGGACGAAGCACUGACGGUACCCCCGGAGGAAGGCCCGGCUAACUACGUGCCAGCAGCCGCGGUAAUACGUAGGGGUCGAGCGUUGUCCGGAGUUACUGGGCGUAAAGCGUGCGCAGGCGGCUUCCUGCGCCCGGCGUGAAAGCCCCCGGCUCAACCGGGGAGGGUCGUCGGGGACGGGGAAGCUUGAGGGUCGCAGGGGCUGGUGGAAUUCCCGGUGUAGUGGUGAAAUGCGUAGAGAUCGGGAGGAACACCCGUGGCGAAGGCGGCCAGCUGGGCGACACCUGACGCUGAGGCACGAAGGCGUGGGGAGCGAACGGGAUUAGAUACCCUAGUAG